Molecule: unclassified non-coding RNA, 306 nt
Filed under: plant metagenome
Description: partial contains 5.8S ribosomal RNA, internal transcribed spacer 2, and large subunit ribosomal RNA
Rfam family: 5.8S ribosomal RNA (bases 1-104)
Source: RNAcentral
AAAUGCGAUAAGUAAUGUGAAUUGCAGAAUUCAGUGAAUCAUCGAAUCUUUGAACGCACGUUGCGCCCGGCAGUAUUCUGCCGGGCAUGCCUGUCCGAGCGUCAUUUCAACCCUCGGGACCCCUUGCGGGAUCUGGCGUUGGGGAUUGGCAUCCAGCCAGCCCCGAAAUCUAGUGGCGGUCCCUCCGCGACCUCCCCUGUGCAGUAGCGAUACCUCGCAGCGGGACAGCGGUCUGACCACGCCGUAAAACCCCCAACUUCUCAAGGUUGACCUCGAAUCAGGUAGGAAUACCCGCUGAACUUAAGC